Molecule: unclassified non-coding RNA, 336 nt
Filed under: soil metagenome
Description: partial contains 5.8S ribosomal RNA, internal transcribed spacer 2, and large subunit ribosomal RNA
Rfam family: 5.8S ribosomal RNA (bases 1-120)
Source: RNAcentral
GAUGAAGAACGUAGCGAAAUGCGAUAAGUAGUGUGAAUUGCAGAAUUCAGUGAAUCAUCGAAUCUUUGGACGCACAUUGCGCCCCUUGGUAUUCCAUGGGGCAUGCCUGUUCGAGCGUCAUUUGUACCUUCAAGCUUUGCUUGGUGUUGGGUGUUUGUCUCGCCUUUGCGUGUAGACUCGCCUUAAAAUAAUUGGCAGCCGGCGUAUUGAUUUCGGAGCGCAGUACAUCUCGCGCUUUGCACUCAUAACGACAGCGUCCAAAAGUACAUUUUACACUCUUGACCUCGGAUCAGGUAGGGAUACCCGCUGAACUUAAGCAUAUCAAUAAGCGGAGGA